This is a non-coding RNA of Oopsacas minuta, 75 nucleotides long. The record is from the annotation of a GenBank genome assembly. NCBI's taxonomy places the organism in Eukaryota, Metazoa, Porifera, Hexactinellida, Lyssacinosida, Leucopsacidae.
UCGCUUGUAGCUCAUUUGGGAGAGUAUUUGUUUCACAUACAAAGGGUAGUGGGUUCGAUCCCCAUCUAGUGGUAA